This 227-nucleotide ribosomal RNA is filed under the name uncultured bacterium. RNAcentral describes it as "partial 16S ribosomal RNA". It matches the Rfam family "Bacterial small subunit ribosomal RNA", at positions 107 to 334 of the family's 1533-position model. The record is from RNAcentral.
UGAGUAACACGUAUCUAACCUGCCGUCUACUCUUGGACAGCCUUCUGAAAGGAAGAUUAAUACAAGAUGGCAUCAUGAGUCCACAUGUUCACAUGAUUAAAGGUAUUCCGGUAGACGAUGGGGAUGCGUUCCAUUAGAUAGUAGGCGGGGUAACGGCCCACCAAGACUACGAUGGAUAGGGGUUCUGAGAGGAAGGUCCCCCACAUUGGAACUGAGACACGGUCCAA